GCCGGAUGCGGUGGCGCGCGCCUGUAAUGCAAGGCACCAGGAGGCUGAGGCUGGUGGGUCGUUUGAGCUCAGGAGCUCCGAACUGUGCCGAUCGGGUGUCCGCACUAAGGUCAGUAUCAACAUGGCGGUCCUGGUGCACCGGCCCAGGUCGGAAACGGAGCAGGUCAAAGCCCACGUGCCGCUCAGUAGUGGGAUCGCGCCCGUGAAGAGUAAUAGAGCGGGAUCCAUUCUUC
RNAcentral lists this signal recognition particle RNA (233 nucleotides) under Seriola lalandi dorsalis. RNAcentral's name for it is "Metazoan signal recognition particle RNA (ENSSLDG00000015252.1)". It matches the Rfam family "Metazoan signal recognition particle RNA". From Rfam's summary of the family: The signal recognition particle (SRP) is a universally conserved ribonucleoprotein. Lineage: Eukaryota; Metazoa; Chordata; Actinopteri; Carangiformes; Carangidae. The record is from RNAcentral.